UGGGGAAUUUUGGACAAUGGACGAAAGUCUGAUCCAGCGACGCCGCGUGGAGGAUGAAGGUUUUCGGAUCGUAAACUCCUUUUACAGGGGACGAAAGCAGGCAACUGUUUGACGGUACUCUGUGAAUAAGCCACGGCUAACUACGUGCCAGCAGCCGCGGUAAUACGUAGGUGGCGAGCGUUACUCGGAUUUACUAGGCGUAAAGCGCGUGUAGGUGGGAGCUUAAGUCCUUCGUUAAAUUCCAGGGCUCAACCCUGGACUGUCGACGGAUACUGGGCUUCUUGAGUGAGGUAGGGGAAACUGGAAUUCCAGGUGUAGCGGUGAAAUGCGUAGAUAUCUGGAAGAACGCCAAAGGCGAAGGCAGGUUUCUGGGCCUUUACUGACACUGAGACGCGAAAGCUAGGGGAGCAAACAGG
This 416-nucleotide ribosomal RNA is filed under the name uncultured bacterium. RNAcentral's name for it is "bacterial SSU rRNA". It matches the Rfam family "Bacterial small subunit ribosomal RNA", at positions 355 to 776 of the family's 1533-position model. The record is from RNAcentral.